UAUUGGUCAAUGGGCGGGAGCCUGAACCAGCCAAGUCGCGUGAGGGAGUAAGGCCCUACGGGUCGUAAACCUCUUUUGUCAGGGAGCAAUUGGCGCUACGUGUAGCGUUAUCGAGAGUACCUGAAGAAAAAGCAUGGGCCACCUCCGUGCCAGCAGCCGCGGUAAUACGGAGGAUGCGAGCGUUAUCCGGAUUUAUUGGGUUUAAAGGGUGCGUAGGCGGAAUGCCAAGUCAGCGGUAAAAUCGCGGGGCUCAACCUCGCUCCGCCGUUGAAACUGGCGUUCUUCAGUGGGCGAGAAGUAUGCGGAAUGCGUGGUGUAGCGGUGAAAUGCAUAGAUAUCACGCAGAACUCCGAUUGCGAAGGCAGCAUACCGGCGCCCAACUGACGCUGAAGCACGAAAGCGUGGGUAUCG
Molecule: ribosomal RNA, 411 nt
Filed under: uncultured bacterium
Lineage: Bacteria
Description: bacterial SSU rRNA
Rfam family: Bacterial small subunit ribosomal RNA
Source: RNAcentral